AUUGCUUCAAACCCACCGGAAAAUUCGACGCCUUUCUCAUACUCUCACUCUAUUUAUUUCUCAUUUACCAUGGGUUUAGGAAACAGUUUCAGGGUUUAGGAAACAGUUGUACUUCAUCAAAUUCUUCAAAAAGCUCUCGAAAGG
This is a long non-coding RNA of Lycium ferocissimum, 144 nucleotides long. RefSeq lists it as uncharacterized. Lineage: Eukaryota; Viridiplantae; Streptophyta; Magnoliopsida; Solanales; Solanaceae. The record is from RefSeq and is a predicted model, not a curated record. The transcript is spliced from 2 exons.